Molecule: unclassified non-coding RNA, 318 nt
Filed under: Coprinopsis foetidella
Lineage: Eukaryota; Fungi; Basidiomycota; Agaricomycetes; Agaricales; Psathyrellaceae
Also listed under: 1 other name
Description: Coprinus foetidellus partial internal transcribed spacer region
Rfam family: Eukaryotic small subunit ribosomal RNA (bases 1-46)
Source: RNAcentral
AAGUCGUAACAAGGUUUCCGUAGGUGAACCUGCGGAAGGAUCAUUAUUGAAUAAAUCUGAUGUGGUUGUAGCUGGCUCUCCGGAGCAUGUGCACGCCCAUCACCUUUAUCUCUCCACCUGUGCACACACUGUAGUCCUGGAUACCUCUCGCCGCAAGGCGGAUGCGAGGCUUGCUGUGUCUUCGCAAGAAGGCCGGCUCGCUUCGAAUUUCCAGGUCUACGAUACUUAUACACCCCAAACUGAAUGUUACAGAAUGUUAUCACUGGGCCUUGUGCCUAUAAACCUAUACAACUUUCAGCAACGGAUCUCUUGGCUCUC